RNAcentral lists this unclassified non-coding RNA (465 nucleotides) under Hevea brasiliensis (rubber tree). Lineage: Eukaryota; Viridiplantae; Streptophyta; Magnoliopsida; Malpighiales; Euphorbiaceae. The record is from RNAcentral.
UGCUACAGAGAAUGGAAAACUCUUGCGACUAAAACAACAGUUUUUUCUUUGCAGCGCGUCACUCCAGGACAUAAUUUCAAGAUUUAAGGAGAGAAAGCAAGGGAAAGAUUCAUGGGAGUGGGCUGAGUUUCCAAGCAGAGUUGCAGUGCAAUUAAAUGAUACUCAUCCAACCCUUGCAAUUCCUGAACUGAUGCGAUUACUGAUGGAUGAUGAAGGCCUUGGAUGGGAUGAAGCAUGGGAUAUAACUACAAGGACUAUUGCUUAUACCAACCACACCGUCCUUCCUGAAGCACUUGAGAAAUGGUCACAACAUGUGAUGUGGAAGCUCCUUCCGCGCCAUAUGGAAAUUAUUGAAGAGAUUGACAAGAGGUUUGUGGCGAUGAUCCAUGCUGCUCAAAAUAAUCUUGAGCAUAAGAUAGACAGUUUGCGCAUCUUGGAUAAUAAUCCUCAGAAGCCAGUGGUUCG